CUAACUAAUUCUAACUUACUCUUAGAAAUAUCUCCUAAGUUAAUUAUGUAUAGUUUUUUGUGCGAAUACCUCCUAACUUUAUUGAAACAUUUUCUAACUUGAUGAAAGCACUAUUUUGAAUAAGACUGGAGUGAAUGAGGCGGCCUACGCGUGAAAGAGACAGGACAUGUGUUUCGUUUGGUGCGCACUGCGCGUUGCGUCGCGUCGUUCAGUCGUUCUGUAGCUCAGUUACCGGCAAGUAGUUUGACAUACGACAAUUUUGUGACCUUUACGAUUUAAAAAUAAAUUUUGUGUUUGGUUAAUUAACAUUUUAAAGUAAUAUUCAGCUGCAGCUGUUUGGAUAAGCUAGAUUCUUAGCAAAACUGAAUAAUGUCAGGAUGGGCAAAACGUAUUCAAAGAUUAAGAGCAGAUCAGAUGUUCAACAUGCUGAAUGUAGAUGUUACUGGUACAAAACGUAAAGCUCCCGACAGUGAUGACGAAAAGGAAAAUAGGGAAAAUGAAAAUCGUCACCUUGAAGAAGAGGAUGAUGAAUUUCAAAGCUCAUUGAUU
Molecule: long non-coding RNA, 549 nt
Organism: Melitaea cinxia (Glanville fritillary)
Lineage: Eukaryota; Metazoa; Arthropoda; Insecta; Lepidoptera; Nymphalidae
Exons: 3
Source: RefSeq, a predicted model, not a curated record